CUUGCUACUUUGCCGGCGAGCGGCGGACGGGUGAGUAAUGUCUGGGAAACUGCCUGAUGAGGGGGAUAACUACUGGAAACGGUAGCUAAUACCGCAUGACCUCGCAAGAGCAAAGUGGGGGACCUUCGGGCCUCACGCCAUCGGAUGUGCCCAGAUGGGAUUAGCUAGUAGGUGAGGUAAUGGCUCACCUAGGCGACGAUCCCUAGCUGGUCUGAGAGGAUGACCAGCCACACUGGAACUGAGACACGGUCCAGACUCC
Molecule: ribosomal RNA, 259 nt
Filed under: uncultured Enterobacteriaceae bacterium
Lineage: Bacteria; Pseudomonadati; Pseudomonadota; Gammaproteobacteria; Enterobacterales; Enterobacteriaceae
Description: partial 16S ribosomal RNA
Rfam family: Bacterial small subunit ribosomal RNA
Source: RNAcentral